GACGAACGCUGGCGGCGUGCCUAAUACAUGCAAGUCGAACGCAGUGGGGACGGGUGAGUAACACGUGGGUAACCUCCCAUCAGAGGGGAGAACACUUGGAAACAGGUGCUAAACUGAUACUGAUGGAUGAAACCGCGGUGCAUUAGCUAGUUGGUGAGGUAACGGCUCAACAAGGCCACGAAGCAUAGCCGAUCUGAGCGGGUGAUCGGCCACACUGUGACUGAGACACGGCCCAGACUCCUACGGGAGGCAGCAUUAGGGAAUCUUCGGCAAUGGACGAAAGUCUGACCGAGCAACGCCGCGGGAGUGAAGAAGGUUUUCGGAUCGUAAAACUCUGUUGUUAGAGAAGCGGUAUCUAACCAGAAAGCCACGGCUAACUACGUGCCAGCAGCCGCGGUAAUUC
RNAcentral lists this ribosomal RNA (403 nucleotides) under uncultured bacterium. RNAcentral's name for it is "partial 16S ribosomal RNA". It matches the Rfam family "Bacterial small subunit ribosomal RNA", at positions 28 to 526 of the family's 1533-position model. The record is from RNAcentral.